RNAcentral lists this long non-coding RNA (17892 nucleotides) under Medicago truncatula (barrel medic). RNAcentral describes it as "long non-coding RNA (MTRU_LNC001055)". Lineage: Eukaryota; Viridiplantae; Streptophyta; Magnoliopsida; Fabales; Fabaceae. The record is from RNAcentral.
GGGGGCUUCACAGAACGGUGCAAGUUAUCACUUGACAAAUUUUUGAGAAGCUGUGUCAUAAUCCCAUCACAGCAAGGCAGUAUUUUAUCCUCCAAUGCCCUGCAUAUGUCGCCUACUACACCAACAGUUACGGCACAAACUUGGUACUCCUCAAAAUUCUGAAGGUCAAUCUCCAGAAACUUGUAAAAUUCCGGCAGGUAUUUAGCAAAAUCAGGGCCUAUCGCAUAGGCAAGGGCUCCAAUAGCUAGCAUGGCCUCCUCAUGGGCAGUGGCAUUUCUACAAGCAAAGACCCAGAUGAAUAGUCCCAUUAUCUGAUCAGCAUACUGCAAGAAAACAUAUUUGGUAGGUUCUGAAGACCCUAGCUUUUGAAUAAUUACAGUCAAGCACCCACAAAGAAGGCCUAUAAGUUCACUAUGUUUAUCUCUUUCAUCAGAUGAAAGAUUUUGUACUUCAAGACAUUUGUGCAGCUCCAUCAUGAUGACAGAAACUAGUUGUAAUACCAAAGGAGCUGUUUCAUCUGUUGAACAUCUUACUACUUCGUUCAAUGUUUCAUAUGCUGAAGCUCUUAACCUUGAUUCCGUAGCAUCCUCUCUGAGGGUAACAGUGAGAAGGGCUUGAACAAUGUCCUUGAAAAAGGGAGUUAUCGGAGAUGUUAGUCCCACAUCCUCAUAACCCUGUGCUAGAAAAUACAGAGCUCCACAGGCUUUCUCAGCAACAUUAGGGACAUCCUUCAUGCUCUGAAGGAGAAUUGUAAUGAUUUGUUGGGCAUUUUCCUCAUUAAUGAUAGUUGUGCCAACAAUUGAACUGUGAAGAAAUUCAAACAUUCGUCCCAAAGUCCAAGCAGUGGUGCCUCUAACAUGAUUGCUUGGAUCCUUCACUAGAGCAUUGAGCAUAAAUGGUAGAGCAUGAUUAAUGAGAGGUGCUAAUUUGUCUGGGGAAGGCCCCUCCAAGAUAGAGCCAAAUGCAUUGGUGGCUGCCUCCCUCUGUCUCCAAUCUGGUUUGGUAAUAUUCUCCUCAAUGAAGGGAAUUACUAGUGGCACAAUAUCGUCUCUGCUAGUAAGAGCAACUAAACCAAGGCAUGUACUGCCCGCCAUUGCAAUAUUCCAUGUAUCUUCAUCCAGAUCUUGAUCUUCUUCUUGUUUAAGUAAUGUUUCCAACAGCAGAGGGAUGAGUGCAGGAAGGGCUUGCUUAAUGAAGUAAAAACAAUGUAUAUCAGAGUCCCCACUGGUAUCCCCCACAUGAUUUUCCAAGAUAUCAGUCUCCUCAUCACAAAUCGUACUCCAGAAUUCAAUGGCUUGGAGAGCAACAGGCUCCUGAUCGCUCCUAAUAGCAUUUGAUGUGAGGUUAUAUAUAACCUGGAUGUGCGGUUCCAAUUUUACAUAAUACAUAGCAGCAAUUGAGACCAAGCAUUCAAAAGCCGCCUGCCGUAUCUUCACUUCGGGAGACAUAGUUGUCUCACACACAACUGUCAUGAUACAUUCACACUCCUCUUUAUUGCUAAAAUUAGCAUGUGCAAAUCCAAGAGCAUUAUAUAAUGCCCCAGUAGCAGCAAGUCUGACAUCAUUACUUUCAGAUGAGUUCAUACCUUGAACUACAGCAGUAAGAAUUUUAUCUACUUGGUCUUUAUCAACAACCUCGUGAGAGACUUCCUCACACAAAUACCCCAGAGUUUCCAAAGUUGCUUGCUUGACAUGAGCUGGAACUUGGUGAAUAUUUGAUAAUAGUGAUCCUAUCAGCUCAGGCCACUGUUUCUGAGGAAGCUCAAUUCCAGCAAUUUUAGCAACAACUUGAGUUGCGGUAGACCGAGCAUCAAGUACAAGAGAGGAGAGUGUUUGGAGCAAGCAUGCCUUAACCUGGGCCUUUGCUGCAGUGUCCAAUGACAACCAUCUUUGAACCAAUUCCCACUUUCUGUUUUCAUCCUUGGCGUCCAAUGCAUUUUUAAGUAUUAAACCUGCCAACUUUCGGCUAUCAACUGGUUUAUCUUCACUUGCUAACUCUCCAGAAAGAGAGACCAAGAAACCAGGAAGGUUUUGCUCCUGAAAUUGCUGCAGAUUUUCUUCAGCAUGCUUACGUAUAGUCCCAUCAAUGGAUUGAGCAUUCAAAAGUGCUUGAGUAACUUCCAUCACUAUGCUAUACCUAAGGGCACAAAACAAUCAGCUUAAUAUUCCACUUUAAAGUAAAAAAAAAAAAAAAAAAAAAAAAAAAAAACAGCAAGAUAAUGAGUCUAUUGAAGAGGCAAUUAUUUUAUUAGUAAAUAACAGAUUUAGAGAUUAACCAAUUGGCCAGAAAGUUGACAGAAACAAAGCAAUAUAUAAAGAUGGCUGCCAUGCAGCAAUAUACUAGGAUUUGACUUAAAUGAACCGGCGGCGUAAACAAAUUUUACACUAUCAAUAAAUCAUAAUCGUCAAAUCAUUCAAAACAUUUGACUUUAUCCUAACUAAAUCUAAAAUGACAUAUAUGGAUGAUUGCAAUGAGCCGACAGUGUAUGAAAAUUAAACUCGUGAUAAAUUAAGCAGAAAAAUGAAACGAAAAGACCGUCAUAUGACUGUGGUACGAACCGAACCAGGAAAAAGAUGAACUGCAAAUAUUAUAUACAAGUUAAAAUUGAAUUUCUCAAAGUAUAACAAACAAGAAUGUUAUUUAAUGGCAGAUAGUUCAUAUGUGUCAAAGAUUACUCGAGUUUUUCCCUAUUGAUAACACCUAUUAACAAUAAAUUAGAAAACCAAGCAAAUUGGUAGUUAAGCAUGCAGGAUAUAAAAUUAGAAUACAGACUUGACUGUAUAAACUGUGUGUUAAUCACGGUUUUCUAAAUGAGGGAAUUCGCUUUCUUUUCAGUUUCAACAAAGAAAAUUAUUUAUUUUGACCGUACAUAAACUAUUUCUAUUCCUAGGUCAGUAGGUUGCUUUCUCUCCCUAUUUUGUUUAACACCUAUUGUUUACUUCACUGAUUCAAAGCAAAAGCUUUGAAAAUCAUCAACGUAAAUGGAUUAUAAAUCAUCAGAAAAAUGAAAACUUAACAUCGAAGUGAAUGAAUGGAAUCAAACAAACCGAUUAUAAAUCAAUCGAACUCAAUACAGAAAAAAUUCAAAUCGACCAUAAUGGAAACAAAGAAUAAACUAACGUAUUGAAGCACCGUUGAAUGAAAAACUAAACCGCAUAAUUAAAACUUCAUUAUAAAAAAAUAGAAACAACAUAAAAAUAAAAUUUGACGUGAAGAACGAAAACGGGAAGAGUGUAUUGGAAUAACGAACGACGGUACCUGAAAUUAGGGCUGAAAUCGUAGAAGAGAUCGCAGCUAAGGAAGGAGUGAGCGAGUGAGUGAGAAGCAAAGAGAGUGGCACAAUUGUAACACCGGUUACAAUCGCAAGCUUUGGGUACGAGUUAAAAAAAACAGCCAAUAAUAGUAAAUAAAUAGUAAUCUUAUGCCGAUUAGGGUUGGAAAUAGGUUGGACCGAAAAGAUCCGACUUGGUCAAAAACUUCACGACCUGACCCAUCGGUUAAUCUAAGUAAAGAUGAAAUAUUUGUUUGUGUUAACCUCGGGUAAUAAGGAAAAGAGAUCUUCUGAUUCGAGACUUGACCCGUAAAUAUUAUUUUUUUUUCCUUUUAUGACCAUAAAUACUAUAUAUUCUGUCACAAUAAAAUUUUGUAUUAUAAUAAAUAAUUUAAUUAUUUAAUAGACUAACUGAAUAAUAAAUAAAAAAAUUUAAUCAGUAUAUUUUAUCGGUUUACAAUUAUUUUACAAAUGCAUUUAAUAAUUUGUUGCCACGCCAACUAAUCUAUACUAUAUAUAAACAAAACUACCCACUUCAUCACUUUUGGACUAGAUUUUUCUUUCCAAAAAUACUCUCAAAUUUCAAUACAAAUAACACAUGUAACAAAUAGAUAAAAAUAAAUUUAAAUAUUAAAACAAACACGGUAUGAAUAUAUAUAUUUUUUUCCUUUAUUAUUUAAAAAGUGUAACAAACUAGAUAAAUAUAUUUAUAUUUACUUUUUCAUCAUUUCAAUUAUACCCUUAAACAACUUUUUUCUAUAAUAAAAUUGUUGUUCGUGUCAUUAUUAUUUUUUUAUUUUUAUAUUGUGUUAUUGUCGAUGUCGUUGAAAUAGAUAAUCGUGAUUAGUUUGUUUUUUUAUAACUUGAAAACAACGAAAAUUUAUAUAUUUUUUAGUUUUAAUCAAAAUCAAAAUUUCAUAAAAAAAUAAACACCGUUCAAAAUUUUCAAACGUUAGCGCAAUAAAAAGAGCAGAGUGCCCCGUCUUUCGCUAGUGAAUAUAAAAACACCUGAGUUGUCAUAUUCGUUGAUUGAUUCGUCCUUGUGAGCUCAUCUCAGUUGGUUUGGACAAUGCAUAAUAUAUGCAAGGUCCGGGGUUCAAACCCUAGCCACCACCAAAAAAAGAUGAAUAUUCAUUGAUUGAUUUCGUAACACAUCAUUAAAUGUAUGUGUAAAAUAAAUGUACAAUGACUGAACAUACUAAUUACACUCAUAAAACGAUGAGAUUAAAAUCUAUUUAUAUAUUUUACAUGUUAUUUUAGUGAAUAUCAUAUUUUUAUUACAAUUUUAAUUCAUAAUAAUAUAUUUAAAUAUUCCCUAACAAAAUAAUAUAUCUAAAUAUGUUAAAAAUUGAAGCAUGCGCGUCAACUCCUUAUUCCCUGUCUUUUUGUUGACUCGGAGAUUGUGCUUAGUUUUGUCAACAAUGACUUUUGUGCUACUGCUUCUCUUAGUCAUCUUCUUAAUGAAGUGAUUCACCUUCUUCGUGAUCCGGACUUGCAUGUACCUCUCCAUCAUAUCAUAUUUACAUAAAAGUCAACAGUUGUGUCGAUCUCCUUGCCAACUUGGGUCAUGGUGGUAGUUUCACUUGAAAUAUUUUGGAUCAUUCUCGAUCCUCUAAAGUUGCAUUUUUAUUUUCAUGUUUUAGGAUGUUGUACACCCAGACUUGUUCCUUACCUUUUUCUUUAAUUUCAUAAAAUUUUAUUGUGUUUUUUUCGUGAUUUCAUCGUAUGAGUGCGACAUUGUGUUGUUCGUCGUCUUGUGCGGUAUUGUUUGAUUUCGCGUCUUGUUGUGAUGUUCGUUUGUUCCUAUUGAAAGAUCAACUUCAAUCAAUCAUUUACAAAUUCAAUCAAUGAUUUGAAUGUCAAUGUUGCAGAUCCAAAAACAUUGGUAUUAUGGUGGUUUUGAUUUUAUCGUAUUAUUUGUAGGCAUUUUGUUGUUGCAUGCUAUUAACAUUGGUGAUGUGAGUUUGUUCGUAGUUUCACCCUUUAUAUUUUUAGCGAUAUUAAUGAUGUUAUUAUCUCUGAUGUAUUCUAUCAAUUUGAAUGAAUGAAUAUCGUUUUGCUUUUGUAAAAAUAAUGUUAUUCAGAGAGUAUAUCUCCUUAUACCAAAACAAUUAUAGCACUUAUUUAUACCCUUUAUAGCACGAUAAAAACUCCUACUUCAUCCAUUUUUAAAGUCUCGUUUUAGAAUAGGAACAUCAAAUUAAGGAAGUGAAUUUUUGAGUUUUUUUCCUAUUAUAUCCUCAUUUUAAUCUAGCAAUAAAUUCAUAUAUUUUUGCACACGCAUUCACUCAUAACAAACAAUUGCUAGUUAUUUUCCCUCUCCCACAAAUUCCUAUUUUUUUGCACACUUUAUUUCUUUUUUAUAACAAACAAUUGUCAAUUGUCUAAAUAUUAUACACAUAUUUUUAAUAAUAGUAAAGCAAAAUAAAAUUUAUUUCACAUUAAUCAAAAAUCAUAAUUUGUUUAAAGUCUGAUAUAACAAAAAACAAAAUUUCUUUUAAAAGAGUAAAUAAAAGUAAUUAAGAAAUAGUAUAAUUGAUAAAUUAGACACUUAAUCUAUUAAAAUGAAAGUUAAAUAAAAAAGCUUAAUUUGAACUCAAAUAACACUUAAAUAGAAAUGGAGGGAAAAUAUUGUGAACAGGUGACCUAUUACAGCGCUUUUUGUGUGUUAUCAAAAGUUUACAUUUCGUAGCUUCUUUCCUACCAAGAGCAGUCGUAGGUUUGUGAUGAUUAUUGGAUUACAUUUAAUAGCGACCAUAUGACUGUGCUAUCAAAAGCAGUACUUACCAUAGCUCCUCCUAGAAUAAUCGUUGUAAAACAUGCUUUUUUGAAUUAUUUGAACUUUAUCAUAACUGUUGUGAAUUGGGUCUCAAAUUUCAAACCUCACAUCAAUGAAAUUUAGAUUCGUGGAGCAAGUAUCAAUGGCAACCAACAACCAAAAGUAAAUCACAAGCAACAACAACAAUAUAGACCUAGUCCAUAAACCAAGUGCAUAGCAAAACCACAAUCUAACCAAAGGAUAAACAAGAUAAAGAAAGUAGAGAAAAAAAUAACAACACCAAUAAAUGUUCACCCAGUUUGGUCCAACAAUGACCUACUCUGGAGGAGAGAUUGAUGUCUCCAAUCCACUAUAAUGAGUUCUUACAAAGAGAUACAAAAUGGGUUACAAGAAAUUAGCUUAGACAAGCUCACAAAAAACAACCCUAAUUUCUACCCAUUUUCCCAAUCUCACCAAUGAACAAGACACUCAUGAAUUUUCACUCUCCCAAGGUGUUUACAAUUAUUUCCCAACUCUAGAAUCUAACCGCUAAAAGAGAACCAACCCUUAGCUUUGAUUUCAUAAAGAUCUUCUCUUUUGGUUUCAUAAGACUCACUCAAGUUGCUCACAAAUGAGUCUCCACUCAUGUGUUUCCCAACCCCAUGAAUCUUCCCAAAAGGCACCAACCCUUUUCCCAAGAGCCCCCUCUUUUGGUUCUCUAAGAUUCACAUCUUGAAGCUUUGAACCUCACCCAAAGACCCUCAACCUUUAGUAUCUAAAAACCUAAAAGUUAUCUCCUUUGGUUUCCAUGAGAUUCACCAAGCUUUUUUCACCAAAAUGGGUCAUAGAGUGCUUAAAUAGUGUGAUAGAUCUGUCAAAAUCGCGUCGCGCCAGCCAAAAUCGUGCCACGGUUCAUUGUGUACGACCCAAGGUACAACGUCCUUAUCUAGAAAUCGUGUCACACUGCACAAAAUCGUGCCACGAUUUGCUUCAGCAGAAACCAUCCAUUCUGCCAGCAAAAUCGCGCCACGCCUCUGAAAAUCGCGCCACGAUUUUCAGCUUUCACAGCAUCACAAUUUUGAGUCAUUUCUCAACAAUAACAAUCAAACACUUUACUAUAUCAAUAACUGAUUUAAAUGAAUAAAUAAAAAAUAACUUAAAAAUUCAUUAAUAGUCCAAUACGAUAUUGCAUAGACACAUUCGAGAGAUGUGUACCACCAAAUAUUGAUCACGAAAUAACUCAAACAAUGAAAUGCAACUCUAAUCCAAUCGUAGAUAUGGAAAUGACAAUCUUAAUCGAUUAUUUCUUUAUCAACUUUCGAACUGAUUUCUCUUUACAUAAUUUCUUUCAGUUUUCAAAAUCAUUUUGGAUAAAAAGUAUCAUAUAAUCUUAGACUAAUUUCAGAAACUUCAAAUGUUGAUGUGAAGUAGAAGCUAGAAAAAUAGAAACAACCAAUAAGAUUAAUUAGAGAGUGGGCAAACAAGAUAAGUUGGUUUACAUUUACUAAAUUAUAUAAAAAGAAACACAAAAAUGGCUUCAAAAAAGACUAGUUUAAUUGAAAAAAAUAAGAUCUCAUAGCUAAUGGUAUCUCGUGAUUCCAAAAAUGGUUAAGCUUUAACACCUUGAGUCCUUUUAUUCCUUCAAAUGAUAAAAAUUAUUAUAAUUUGAAGUCACCUUUUAACACUAAAAUCUGAAGGUUUGGAAUAUACAAUUGAAAAAGAUAAUAAUCUUUGUUUGCAUAACCAUUGUAGUAGAACGAGGUUACCCCAAAACAAUCCUUUAUAAUAUCUUUCUCACUCAGGAUGAUGGGUUUUUGGUCAACAUUUUCAUAAAUUUUUUUAUGAUUUUUCUUGAAUUUCUUUGAUAUCCACAAGCAUAUCAUGUCAUGCAUCUUCAAAUGUUUUAGUGUUUCCUCAACGAUUCUUUACCAACCACAAAUCAACAAUCCAUAAUCUAAGAGCUUGGUUAUGCUUGCUUCAAUGCAAUCCUUGAUUUUUUUAGGGUACCCUCUAUGAUUUUUUUUGGAUGGCUAGUGGUUCACUUAUGCCCAGAAAUAGCUCCGAAACUAGCUUUGGUUGACCUUUGAAUGGUCUGAUUAGGCAGUUCACAACCCACCUAGAUAAUUGCCUCGUUUAGUAUAAUAUAAGCCAAUUGCAGAAUUUAUAUUAAAAAGCUUAGUCUAUUUUCUUUUUGGAUAAUUAUGGGUUGACAACCUUUUUUCCUCACGUCACUCAUAUAUCAUUCUAUGUGGCAUUUUUUAUUUUUUACUUCUCUUCCCUUUUAUCCUCUCUCCACAUGGGGGUGCAGAAUGGAGAGUGUGCCAUAUAGGGUGAUCAAUGUAUCGUUACUCUUUCUUUUUCAUGUAAGUGACGACUUUUGAAGAAUAAGCUUCUCUUUUCUAAAAAAUAGUAGAUAAUGAAUAAGUUAUAUUUUUGAUGGGAUAUAGUGAAUAAGUUAAAUGAUAUAAAUUGGAUGAAUUAAUAGCAGAUAAGACAAGGUAAUUUAUAGUCGAUAGCGAAUAAACUAACAAAUAAUUGAUAGCAAAUAGACAGAUUAUAAGAUUGGUUAGAUAGUUGAAUGAAGAGGUUCAUAAGUUGAGUGAUUAGAAGGUUGACCCACAUCCUGGUGGUUUUAGGGGGCGGUGGCUGGAAAUGGUUACCUUAAGGUGAAGAAAGGUUUGAAGAAAUUGGUGAAGGAACAAUGAUUUUUUUUAAGGAACAAUGAUAUCACCAAUGUUUCUCACCACAUUCAAACAUAAUAUUAACAACACCGAUAUAUUUUUUUAAGGACAAAACUUAGGUGCUUCUUCAAAGUUUGUUGUAACAAAGAAUGCGUUAAAUAUUUUGAGGGAGAACUCACACGCUACACACACUAAAUAUUGAAAAACAAUGAAUUGUAUUUUAGAAGAUUUAUUUACAUUUUGAUAAGGACAAUGCAUAAUAUAUGUAAGAUUUGAGGUUAAAAAUUGGAAAAUAAAAUGAUGCACUGAAGUCAGCACUCAGUACCAAAAAGGGAAUAUGUAUUAACUAAUUUAUGUGGCUAUUUAUUUCUGCAGUCUCUGAUCUCCUUUCGUGGGAUAAUCUCAAUGACUACAUGUUAUGUUACUAUAAAAUACCAAUGAAUUUUAUUAUUUUGAUUAGAUCAAGUUUUAUUCCAAGUAAUAAGAAAGUCCAAUGGUAGACUUUAUCCUCAAUUUUCUUGCAAUAUAUAUAAUGGUCUAAUUGUCCAUACUUUAUUUAUUUAAUACCUCAUAAGUUACAAUACACACAAGUAGUGGCUCCGGUGAAGAAACUAACUCGAUUGUCUAUAUAAUAAUCAUACCAUGUCUCCUCUUACAUGAACAAAACAUUUUGAGGGGAAAGACAUAAUAUUAUACUAGUAUAUAGUUUUAUUAUAUUAUUAUAUGAAUAUGAUUAGUAAUUAGUUGUUAAGGUGUUUAACGACCCUUGCCAGGUUUCUUUGAAUGCUUUGGGUUGGGUCCUGCUUCAUCAUAAUCCAACACAAAAGCAUGAGACAAUAGCUUCCUCGAGUUCAUCUUUAUAUCAUCCUUCAUUCAAUACCAAAGUACUUGUUAGUUAAAAAAAAAAAUUAAGAUCUAAUCAUCAAAUACUAAGUUGAAAUAAAUCAAAAAAAGAUUACAAAUUUUUUUAUAGGACAAUUUUUAAUUUAUUUGUAAACAUUAUUGUUGGAAUUAUAUGGGAUAUAUCACAUUAGUAAAUCUAAGCAAAUAUUAGCAUUUGCUUCAAUGUAGCUCCAUCUAUAUUCAUCAUUAUUUUUUAUUUUUUAUGUUGAUCUUAAGUAUUUUGGCCUUCAAUUAGCUUCAUUAAUGUUUACCAUUUAAAACUAAAUAAAAAAAGAUAGUAAGGUACCUUGUAAAGAAAGUUAUUAGUAGUAGGAUGCAUAUUUUCUCUGAAUCCUUCAGCCAAUCCUAAAAGAGCAAAAAAAAAAAAAAAAAUGUUACACGAGUUGAAUUAAUCUCUACAAAACUUAAACCACUUAUAUCAAGUAAAAAUUUGUUUACCUGAAGAUAAAGGAAAAUGAAUGAAAACCAAGAGGAUGACUAAAAGGAAAGUCUUGAUUUUGUGUUCCAUGGCAAGUAUAUGCAAUGAAGAGUUAUGUGUAUUUUUGUUCCUCUCUUUAUGAGAAGCUAAAAUGAAUAUAAAUGACUUGGCAGGAAAAUGAAUGUAGGGGCACCCCUUUUUAAACUUGGCUAAUAGAUUAGAGAGAGUGCCCUUGUCAUGGUGCACCCCACCCAAUAACAACAGAGUGAUGAUGAAAUGCAAUAACUUGUCACAACACUUGGGUAAGUCAACUAUACUAUUCUAUAUAUGGACUAUAUGAUAAUUGCAUUAAGAAAAAGAUAAACAAUUCAAUAUUUUAAUUUGCAUGUGCACAUUACUAAUAUUUCCCCUGCAUGGCUCAAAAUUAGAUAGACAUUACAUCUUGUGUUUUCUGUCCACCUUUUAGUAAGUCAACUUUUGUUUUCUACUUUCUAAGUAAGUUGCAACAUUGCCAUAUAGUUUAUUUUAUAUUCUUAUAUGCUUGUCAAUUUUUAAUCAUAUGUUAAUAAUAUAUAUGGUUCAUAUUCUAAUAAGGUCAAUCUCAAUUAACUUCAAUAUGGAAAAUCAACCACAUUCACAUAGUGGUGAAAGCUGCUAAAUCCUUCUCGUAGUUUUGAAAAUUUUCCGUGGUACCAAUCACCACUUAAAAAUGAAAUGAUGCUUUUGAUCCUCAUAUUUAGGCUUUCAUCACUUUUUUUAGUCAAUGGAUGGAGACAGGCAUGUAGAGUGGGCUACAGAAGAAGAGAAUUGAAUGUGGAAUGCCCUUAGUGGGUGCACUAGCAAUAAGGAGAGGGAAACAUCAUUACUAAUUUAACCCUAAAUUAAAAUAGAUACUACCUCCGUCCUUAAUUAUAAGACCUUUUGAAGAAAAAAAAUUAUCCCUUUUUAUAAGACAUCUUUUCUAUUUCCAACUACAUUAAUUAUUUCUUUACAUACAUGCCCCUAUUUAUUAUACACUUUUUUCUUGAAUCAACAAUAAAUAGCAUAUGGAAAACAUAAACUAACUCUCUCUCUUAAGGAUAAAACUGUAAAAACAAUAGUACUUACAAACAACUUUAAUAUAAAUAUCCACUUUCUUAAUUUCCGUAAUUUUAGCAAAAGGGUCUUAUAUAUUGGGACGAAGGUAGUAAAUAUUAACUUAAUCACCCUUUUGGAGACCAUAAUGUAUGUUGGCAAUAAUGAGUCUAACUAAUAGACUAAUAUAAACUGCUUUAUUCCUGCUUCUGGUAAUUAAUGGUAUUUUGGCAGUAGUGAACAAAAAAAGGCUAGUAGGCCUAAAAUAUUUUCGACAACCAUAUGUGCUACCAUCCUAAAACUAUCAGUCUAUCAUAGAUACUUUCCAACAAAAAGUUUAUUUGGUGUUAGUAUUUCAUUUUUCAUAUGAUAAAGAUUUUUACAGGCACAUGGUUUUUAUUAAAAAUCCUACACUAGAUUAGAUGGGAUAUGGUAUAAUUCACCUAACAAAACGAAUUUAUAAAAGUUGAGUUAGGUCCAACCUAAAUUUUAAAAUGGCAUCACAUCGUAUCUAAAUUUAUUGAGUAUGUGUUUGGUUUAGUGUUACAGAGAUACAGUGGCGUAUCCAGGACCCUGGAUUAGAGGGUGCAAAAUUUUUAACACAAUUAAUAUAUAUAUAUAUAUACACACUUUUUUUAGCCAAAUAAUUAAACUCAAAUGAUUAAUGUGUUUCAUACAAGAACGAACCGUUCGAAAGAAUCCAAGUUCGAUUAUAUAUGAAACACGAUUUUUUAUUAGACUUUAUUUACCUCAUGACUGAACAUCAGAUCACUAGAGUCUCCUUCCCUAUGAACCAAAGGGUUAACACUAAAGAUACCCUAGUUAAUACUACUAACUUGUCUUAAAAUAUGAAAUGUCAAAUUUGAUACACAUACAAACAAAAGAUAAUUUGGUAAUAUUAACACAUAAAAUAGACACAUUAAUUACACUGACAACUUUUCUUAAGAAGUGUGAAAAUGCAAAAGGUGCUUAAAUAUAGGGAUGGUGGGAGUAAAUUAUCAAUGUUACCAUUAUUUAAUUUGAUACACCAUUAAAAAAAUGGAAUAUAAUAUAUCAAUAACAAUGCGACACUACAAUUCAUUGUCAGCUGCAAAUGAAAUUGAACUGCAUAACUUUUAAGAAUGCUAAUGGGUUAGAGUAAGAAUGUCAUAGAACCAUUGAACUAAUAGCAAAUGUGAGUGGGUUCAUCAUUCGGUGCAAAGAAAUUAAUUCAGAGGGUUCAUAGCUAAAAUUUUAUGAGAAGGUAGGUGCAAAUUUUUUGAUGUCAGGGUAUGCAAGUGCAUCCCCUCAAUUCAAUGUGGCUCCGCCACUGCAGAGAUACUCACAUUUGCAGUGUAACUUUUGUAAAACGAAAUUGUAAUCGACGUGAAAGCUACAAUUGUUAGCUUCGUUUCAACGCGUGGUGGUGGUGGUGGGUGAUCCCACAAACAAAUACACGUUGAGUCAUCGGCUAUCAGGCCACUCAAGUCUGAAGUCACACUCGAUAUGUUUAGUCUAAAAUAUUUAGGAUGUAUAUUGAGAAUUCACAUUGAAUGAGAUAUAACAUGAAAAUGUGUUUAUAUAACUGCUUACAUAUCGAUUUUGUAAUUGUGGAAUUAAUUCCAACCAAAAUUAUGAGAGCUAAGCUUGUAUAUUUGCGUGCAUAUAUCUAUCUAUGCCCAUAUGUGACAUUGUGCCUUGCCUUCUUCAUAAGUCGUUAUACCUAUCACUUGGGAAAAGGGGGGUCUUUGACUUGUGUGGCUUAGCAAUAUUGCUCAUGCCAUUAAAUGGACUAAACUAUUCAUUGUUUCAAUAGGAAAAAACCAAAAUAAAUCAGAUAAAUAAUGUUGCACAUGCACUCAGGAUUCCCUUUCUAAAUUGGUAGAAUACAAUUAUUUUAAAGAGGUUUGACUUCCAAUUCCAUCACAGAACACUGAGCAUCAAGUGUCGGCAUAUGCACGGUUCUUAUUCUUCGUUGGAGUAAACAGAAACUGGUGCAAAAUUCUCCUCUCCUAUAUACAUAUGUGUGUGACACUGUUUUCUCAAUGCUGGAACUGAAGAGCCAAGUAUAGAUGAAUGCAUUAAGUCACUAAAUGGAUGCUAAAAGUGGAGUUGCUAUUCAUCUUGGAAGCUUACUGUGAUAUCCUUUCCAUAUCAUAUAGUAGUCAAAGACUACAAAUUCUAAUUAGUAAUUUUACAUGGAAGAUGAACUGAAAGUUAUAUUAUAAGAGAAAAUUAAAAGAGAGAUAAAAAUAAGAAUGGAGAAUCUCAUUCACAUCCAAAUCACUGCUUUAUUUGGUGUUAUAUAAAUUGGUGGCAGUCAGAUCAAAAAAGGUCACAAGCACUUUCGCUGAACUAAUUUGAAAGUAAGAAAGUUACCCACCCACAUUUGAUCCUUUUGUUCUCCGUUCCAUUAAAACUCAAAUUAUAUAGAACAUGGAAAAAACCUAACUCAUCAUUUUCUUCUUUGAACUAUUGCUGCCACUUUAGAAUAGAGUAAGACAUUACAGUACAUAUUAUCAAGGUGGCUUUUCAGGGGGUCUCAUGGGACAAAAAAUUCGACUAUUCAUAUUAUAAGCACUUGACAGAUUAACUGUUGAACUUUUUAGGGGUUUAGAAUCUAAAGCAUGGCAUGGAAAAGCAGGUAUAAAGUUUUGAUUGUGAUCUGUGUUUUGGUUUUGAAUGCGCAUUUUUCACAGAAAGAAUAAGAAAAUUAUUAAAAAUGAAUUCUGAAAAACGAUAAUCUUUUUUACGGAUUUACUAUAUUCAUAUUUUAUUGUCAAUAUUUUCAUCAAGGGUUUCAAACCAAUUGACAGCAACUAUCAAGUGAUUUUAUUUGCAUGAUUGCAUCCUAACAUAUCUGUAAGGGUAAGCCAUAACAGUAGCUGGACAAAAAAAAAAAAAAAAAAACUAUUCUAGCAUAGACAACAAACUUUCUCUCACUGGACAAAUACUUUUUUUUUUUUUUUUUUUUAUUAUUAUAUAUAAACAAGUUUUUUCGAAUCCCUCAUUUUAAGGAGUUCAGAUCUGCUCCAUUUCCAACUUGCCUUAGUUUUCCUGUUCUUUGACAGAUGAGCGACACGUGUCGAAACAAUUCAUCAACGGUUCAGAUUGAAAGGAACAAACUCCAUUCUAAGUUUGUACGCAUGCUUCUAGAGCUACUCCAUUAGCUAGACACCAUUGCAUUUCUCCAAGGUGUUUUCUCCUACUGAAUUCAACCAUGCAUAUAUCGGAAAAUUUUCGUACUAUUCAUCAGUUGGCCACCAUACAACAUUUCAGGAAAUAAGUGAUGAUUUUUAGUAACCCACCAUACAACAUCUCAGAAAAUAAGAGAUGAUUUUUAAUUUCAUUGUGAAUAUCACGUUUUGUUACAGUUGGAAAUAAGUGAAUUUUGAAUUUGAUCAUCAGGAUUGUUCAUUAAAUGGGUUUGAUCUAUGCCCACUAAAUAAUAAUUCAAAUCAAAAUAAUUGUAUUGGAAUAGUAUGCAUAGUGAACUUUUUUUUGGUAACAAAAGGGAAAUAAAAAAAAUGCAUUGUGAACUUUAUGCAUAUCUCUAAUUUGCUUCCUGCGCCACAAAUUUUAUAAGAUAUAUGCAAUUAUGCAUAACUACUAGUAGCUAAUUUUGAUUUGUAACAUUCCAGUUUAUAAUAUUCAAGUAUAUGCAAAUAAAUAAGUAAAUUCAAGAAUGCAGGAAACAUGAAAGUAUAAAAAUAAAAUAAAAAAUUGAACGGCAUGAAAGUAUUCCUUACUCCUUAAUCUUAUUAGGUUGCAACAACUUAAACCCUAAAAAUUUGGCUCCAAAAUUACAACAUUAAAUGCUAAGUGAGAUAACCCUAAAAAAAUUUGGCCCUAAAGUGUUUGGGAAUUUGAAUUUCAAAUUAUUUUAUUGGAACAAACCUACUAGCAUUUACCAAUAUAUCCCUUACUCCUUAAUCUUAUUAGGUUGCAACAACUUAACCCUAGAAAUUUGGCUCCAAAAUUGCAGCAUUAAAUGCUAAGUGAGAUAACCCUAAAAAAAAUUGGCCCUAAAGUGUUUGGGAAUUUGAAUUUCAAAUUAUUUUAUUGGAACAAACCUACUAGCAUUUACCAAUAUAUGUUAUUAAUAACAAUGAUAUUUUCCAAAGCAAAAAUUUGACCCAUAUAUGCUAUUUGAAUUUCAAUUUCUCCCUCAUUCACUUCUUAUUUUGUGUAUUUCGAAAUUAGCAAUUAGCCUAGCUAUUGUUGUGUCCCUUCCUAUUUUCAUGCAGCAUUUAGUGCAUUCUUUGCUGAAUAAUUGGACGGUUCCAUGAUAUCAGACUUUUAGAAUGCAUUGAAAUUCCUCACCUUUUAAUAUUACGGUUCCAGCUAAAAACGAAUCACCACUCUGUAGUCUCUCUCUUUCUACUAAUCUUCUUUCAUUUGCUUCUACAAUAAUUUCUCAGCAACGAGCAACUCACCAUUUUCUCAUCGGAAACCUAUCCCUCCACCUUUUCAUCUGUGUCGCUGAACUCAAUGGCGGAUUGAGGUAAUGCUAGAUAUGCUUCUCUAAUGGUAGCAGAUCAUUUGCUGUUAAAUUGGAGAAAUUGAACCAUUUAUUUUUCUUUGAUUUUAAUUGUUGUUACUAAUUUGUAUUUUUUUUUUUCUUUUCGAUUUUGAUUUGAACUGAAGUACCUGUAACUUUUGAUUUGAACGGAAGUCACAAUAUAUCAUGGACGACUUUGUGAUUUUUUAGUUAACAAAAAUAGAUUUUUUUUCAAAAACCAACGGGUCCCAUAUUGCAACAUAUUACCUUCUCCUUUGUUUCAGCACGGGUAAAAGUUCUAGUAAAAAUGAAAACUGCCUAUGAAGUAAUUAAACAAAAUUAUACAAUUUCAUCUAAUCUCAGUAUAAAAAAAAGUAUAUCACCAAACCAUAAGAAGGUAUAAAGGACACACACAAAAAUGCCCAAGCAAACCAAAAUUCACAAUUUUUUAUAUAGACACAAGGGAAAGAUAUCAAGUACAGGCCAGAUCCAGACUGCCUUCCAACAAGAGAAACAGCAGUCCACCACAAUUCAGUUGGUUCUUUUGAUGUCAUCACAAUAUACGACCAUCUUUUGUACCAAUCCACAGGAGUAGCCAAUACAUGAUUUUACAUACGCAAUUCAAAACAAAGAAAUAAAGGUUUGAUGAUUUCAUGAAUGCAAAAUGAUUAUGACCUAAGAAACCGAUAACAUCAAAACGGGAAUGCAUAUUGCGCGGUAGGAAGUAGCCUUUCCUAUCCUGGGUCAACAAUCACAAAUGACUCCAAUGAUAGCAAAGCAGUUAUGUGCAGAAAAAGUAAUAUGGAUGGUAGCCUAAAGAUACACGGUGAGGUGAUGAAAAAAAUGACUCAAGAAGAUGCAGGGUUAUAGUCAGAAAAAGGAAGAGAAUAUCUAAAAAUAAAGCACUUGGGUGGAGUGGAUGAAAACCAGUUCAACCCUGGGGGUUCAUCUAUUCCAAAUAACCCAUGACCAGAUCAGGAAAAAAAAAAUCAAUUUUAGCAUAGAAUGGGAUUAUCUUGACAUUCAAACUCAACAUCCAAGCCAUAGAGUAGAGUAGUUCUCAGUCAUGGACCAGCUACCUCCUCUUAGCGGCUCAGCCAUUCAACUUACACUCAUGAAGAGCUAAACCCACAUUUGUAUUCUCGUCGCUAACUUCUUCCUCUUGAAAGUAAUGGUGCUCAUGCAAAAGUCAGUGAUGCAUUCUUGAACGUACUGGACUUAAUGGUGCUCAUGCAAAGGUCAGUGAUGCAUUGGAGAUGAUGCAAGAGUUAGUGACAACUGGAAGACCUUCAAACAGAUACUUUCAGUUGUCUGACCAUGGAGACAAUUUGACACAUGCAAUCCCACGACCCACCUCGACACACCCAAAUGCAUGCAAGUAGUUUAUGACAAAGGAUAUGCUUACUGAGAUGAACCUCAAACAGAUAUAGCACGAUUGAUGGCCAACUUGGCCCAUUCGGCAGAUUCUUUAAUCAAAUGAUCAUCUGAGGUCAGACAUUCAUUCAAAAAUUGUGUGCUUGACAAAGACUGUUGAAUUAAGGAACCAGCAUUGCUUCCAAGUGUAUCAGCUAGAUCUCCAACGACACCAAUGGCUGUUUUCAUAACAAUGUCAUCCCUGCAGUAAGAAAAGUCAACGAAGUCACUAAAAGAAUGAAUAUAUUAUUGCUAUGAAAAAUAAAUUGGAAAAUGAACUAUUUUGCUUUCUCACAUGUCUUUUUCCAUGUAUAUGCUAUCCAAGAACUGGAGGAUGUGGGGAGCAUAAGGAAUCAAGAUCUGGGAUUUUGAUGAAUUCUUAAACCCUUGGAAGAUCCCAGAAUAUGCCUCUAAUAUCCCAUUUCUCAAAGAGUUAAUGUACUCUGUCAUUUCCAAGUCAAAGCCUGAUGUGUGGGCGUACAUCUCUGCAGCAAUUUGUAGUGUCUUCAUUGCAUACAUUAAGUACUUCUCAAAGUUGUCUCCUAUAGCCAGUGCUAUAUCACCAAUGCAUGAAAACAAGGGGGGCUUCACAGAACGGUGCAAGUUAUCACUUGACAAAUUUUUUAGAAGUUGUGUCAUAAUCCCAUCACAGUAAGGGAAUAUUUUAUCCUCCAAUGCCCUGCAUAUGUCGCCUACAACACCAACAGUAACGGCACAAACUUGGUACUCCUCAAAAUUCUGAAGGUCAAUCUCAAGAAACUUGUAAAAUUCAGGCAGGUAUUUAGCAAAAUCAGGGCCUAUCGCAUAGGCAAGGGCUCCAAUAGCUAGCAUGGCCUCCUCAUGGGCAGUGGCAUUUCUACAAGCAAACACCCGGAUGAAUAGUCCCAUUAUCUG